AACCAAACGAAAGUUUGGCUAAUACCGCGUAAGCUCCAAGGAGGAAAGUAGGGGACCUAAAUAAGGCCUUACGCUAUUUGAUCGGCCGAUGUCGGAUUAGCUAGUUGGUGGGGUAAUGGCUCACCAAGGCAAUGAUCCGUAGCGGGUCUGAGAGGACGAUCCGCCACACUGGGAGUGAGACACGGCCCAG
This 190-nucleotide ribosomal RNA is filed under the name uncultured Neisseriales bacterium. Its description in RNAcentral is "partial 16S ribosomal RNA". It matches the Rfam family "Bacterial small subunit ribosomal RNA", at positions 145 to 334 of the family's 1533-position model. The record is from RNAcentral. Lineage: Bacteria; Pseudomonadati; Pseudomonadota; Betaproteobacteria; Neisseriales.